RNAcentral lists this ribosomal RNA (238 nucleotides) under uncultured bacterium. RNAcentral describes it as "partial 16S ribosomal RNA". It matches the Rfam family "Bacterial small subunit ribosomal RNA", at positions 15 to 244 of the family's 1533-position model. The record is from RNAcentral.
GAUCGGCUCAGGAUGAACGCUAGCUACAGGCUUAACACAUGCAAGUCGAGGGGAAACGAUAUUGGAAGCUUGCUUCCGAUAGGCGUCGACCGGCGCACGGGUGAGUAACGCGUAUCCAACCUGCCCACCACUUGGGGAUAACCUUGCGAAAGUAAGACUAAUACCCAAUGAUAUCUCUAGAAGACAUCUGAAAGAGAUUAAAGAUUUAUCGGUGAUGGAUGGGGAUGCGUCUGAUUAG